AGACAGCCAGGAUGUUGGCUUAGAAGCAGCCAUCAUUUAAAGAAAGCGUAAUAGCUCACUGGUCGAGUCGGCCUGCGCGGAAGAUGUAACGGGGCUAAACCAUGCACCGAAGCUGCGGCAGCGACACUCAGGUGUUGUUGGGUAGGGGAGCGUUCUGUAAGCCUGCGAAGGUGGCCUGUGAGGGUUGCUGGAGGUAUCAGAAGUGCGAAUGCUGACAUAAGUAACGAUAAAGCGGGUGAAAAGCCCGCUCGCCGGAAGACCAAGGGUUCCUGUCCAACGUUAAUCGGGGCAGGGUGAGUCGACCCCUAAGGCGAGGCCGAAAGGCGUAGUCGAUGGGAAACGGGUUAAUAUUCCCGUACUUGGUGUUACUGCGAAGGGGGGACGGAGAAGGCUAUGUUGGCCGGGCGACGGUUGUCCCGGUUUAAGCGUGUAGGUGUGUGUUCCAGGUAAAUCCGGUUCACUUUAACACUGAGGCGUGAUGACGAGGCACUACGGUGCUGAAGCAACAAAUGCCCUGCUUCCAGGAAAAGCCUCUAAGCAUCAGGUAACAUCAAAUCGUACCCCAAACCGACACAGGUGGUCAGGUAGAGAAUACCAAGGCGCUUGAGAGAACUCGGGUGAAGGAACUAGGCAAAAUGGUGCCGUAACUUCGGGAGAAGGCACGCUGACACGUAGGUGAAGUGAUUUACUCAUGGAGCUGAAGUCAGUCGAAGAUACCAGCUGGCUGCAACUGUUUAUUAAAAACACAGCACUGUGCAAACACGAAAGUGGACGUAUACGGUGUGACGCCUGCCCGGUGCCGGAAGGUUAAUUGAUGGGGUCAGCGCAAGCGAAGCUCCUGAUCGAAGCCCCGGUAAACGGCGGCCGUAACUAUAACGGUCCUAAGGUAGCGAAAUUCCUUGUCGGGUAAGUUCCGACCUGCACGAAUGGCGUAAUGAUGGCCAGGCUGUCUCCACCCGAGACUCAGUGAAAUUGAACUCGCUGUGAAGAUGCAGUGUACCCGCGGCAAGACGGAAAGACCCCGUGAACCUUUACUAUAGCUUGACACUGAACAUUGAGCCUUGAUGUGUAGGAUAGGUGGGAGGCUUUGAAGUGUGGACGCCAGUCUGCAUGGAGCCGGCCUUGAAAUACCACCCUUUAAUGUUUGAUGUUCUAACGUGGACCCGUGAUCCGGGUUGCGGACAGUGUCUGGUGGGUAGUUUGACUGGGGCGGUCUCCUCCUAAAGAGUAACGGAGGAGCACGAAGGUUGGCUAAUCCUGGUCGGACAUCAGGAGGUUAGUGCAAUGGCAUAAGCCAGCUUGACUGCGAGCGUGACGGCGCGAGCAGGUGCGAAAGCAGGUCAUAGUGAUCCGGUGGUUCUGAAUGGAAGGGCCAUCGCUCAACGGAUAAAAGGUACUCCGGGGAUAACAGGCUGAUACCGCCCAAGAGUUCAUAUCGACGGCGGUGUUUGGCACCUCGAUGUCGGCUCAUCACAUCCUGGGGCUGAAGUAGGUCCCAAGGGUAUGGCUGUUCGCCAUUUAAAGUGGUACGCGAGCUGGGUUUAGAACGUCGUGAGACAGUUCGGUCCCUAUCUGCCGUGGGCGCUGGAGAACUGAGGGGGGCUGCUCCUAGUACGAGAGGACCGGAGUGGACGCAUCACUGGUGUUCGGGUUGUCAUGCCAAUGGCACUGCCCGGUAGCUAAAUGCGGAAGAGAUAAGUGCUGAAAGCAUCUAAGCACGAAACUUGCCCCGAGAUGAGUUCUCCCUGAGACUUUAGGUCUCCUGAAGGAACGUUGAAGACGACGACGUUGAUAGGCCGGGUGUGUAAGCGCAGCGAUGCGUUGAGCUAACCGGUACUAAUGAACCGUGAGGCUUAACCUUACA
RNAcentral lists this ribosomal RNA (1864 nucleotides) under Salmonella enterica. Its description in RNAcentral is "partial 23S ribosomal RNA". It matches the Rfam family "Bacterial large subunit ribosomal RNA", at positions 1087 to 2925 of the family's 2925-position model. Lineage: Bacteria; Pseudomonadati; Pseudomonadota; Gammaproteobacteria; Enterobacterales; Enterobacteriaceae. The record is from RNAcentral.